GAAUUUUGGACAAUGGGGGCAACCCUGAUCCAGCCAUCCCGCGUGUGCGAUGAAGGCCUUCGUGUUGUAAAGCACUUUUGGCAGGGAAGAAAAGGCUCUGGCUAAUACCUGGAGCUGCUGACGGUACCUGCAGAAUAAUCACCGGCUAACUACUUACCACCAACCUCUGUAAUACGUAGGGUGCAAGCGUUAAUCGGAAUUACUGGGCGUAAAGCGUGCGCAGGCGGUUCGGCAAGAAGGAUGUGAAAUCCCAGGGCUUAACCUUGGAACUGCAUUCUUAACUGCCGGGCUAGAGUAUGUCAGAGGGGGGUAGAAUUCCGCGUGUAGCAGUGAAAUGCGUAGAGAUGCGGAGGAAUACCGAUGGCGAAGGCAGCCCCCUGGGAUAAUACUGACGCUCAUGCACGAAAGCGUGGGGAGCAAAC
RNAcentral lists this ribosomal RNA (422 nucleotides) under uncultured bacterium. RNAcentral's name for it is "partial 16S ribosomal RNA". It matches the Rfam family "Bacterial small subunit ribosomal RNA", at positions 359 to 773 of the family's 1533-position model. The record is from RNAcentral.